AUCCGGCUGACGAGUCCCAAACAGGACGAAACGCGUGUCCUGGAU
Molecule: non-coding RNA, 45 nt
Filed under: Schistosoma mansoni
Lineage: Eukaryota; Metazoa; Platyhelminthes; Trematoda; Strigeidida; Schistosomatidae
Also listed under: 1 other name
Source: RNAcentral